AAUUUUAGUUUCCUACCGAGGCUAGUUUCAGAAUUUAAAUUAUCUCUAUGUCUCUUCUCUUGUUAAUUACAUUUUUCAUGUUACACUUGUCGCCCUACAUAUUCAGUACAUAUUUCUUACUGACACAUUUUUAUGCGAUGUGUUCAUGCCUACAGAUUCGAAUAGACAGAGUGGUGUGCCUCCUCAGUAGGACCCCCAGGAUCAGCGUUGGGUUUCGCACUCCACUUCUUCGGAGUUGCUGACUUUGAGUCCAUAGAUACGAGUGAAUUGGCGAUGGAAUCAAGAGCUAAAGCGGUGAUUGAGUGUUAAAUUACUCGUUGGCUUGAGAUUUUGGAGCUAGUGGUUGAUCAUGAGGUUGGUUGCUAUCACUGCGCACUGGAGACCCAAGGUAGUCCUGCAGGCGUCCGCAGGCCCUGGCGUCCCCUUUCUAUCUCAUUUAAUUUUCUGUUUUAUCUACUACCGAGACAGAUGUAAACUUUUCAUUCAGCCCUUGUUUGUAGUAAUCUUAGAUAGUUUGUGAGUUGUGACACCAGUUCUGGGUGAAUGUUACUAUGGUUUUCGUUAUUAUGUAAAGUUAAGCUUUUAAAAUA
This is a non-coding RNA of Nicotiana tabacum (common tobacco), 590 nucleotides long. Lineage: Eukaryota; Viridiplantae; Streptophyta; Magnoliopsida; Solanales; Solanaceae. The record is from RefSeq and is a predicted model, not a curated record.